Molecule: ribosomal RNA, 301 nt
Filed under: uncultured bacterium
Lineage: Bacteria
Description: partial 16S ribosomal RNA
Rfam family: Bacterial small subunit ribosomal RNA
Source: RNAcentral
CAGUCGCCACGGUAAUACGGAGGGGGCUAGCGUUGUUCGGAAUUACUGGGCGUAAAGCGCACGUAGGCGGCUUGGUAAGUUAGAGGUGAAAGCCUGGAGCUCAACUCCAGAAUUGCCUUUAAGACUGCCGAGCUAGCAGGUGAGAGAGGUAAGUGGAAUUCCGAGUGUAGAGGUGAAAUUCGUAGAUAUUCGGAAGAGCACCAGUGGCGAAGGCGGCUUACUGGCUCAUACUGGACGCUGAGGUGCGAAAGCGUGGGGAGCGAACAGGAUUAGAUACCCGGGUAGUCCCUGUCUCUUAUAC